AGCCCAGCGUGAAGGCCUCAUCACUCCGGUGUUGAGGCGGUGCCACGUUAGUGACUUGUCAUAAUGCUUUGCUGAAGCUUCGUGAAUGCUUUUGAAUAAGCUUCAUUCUAGCCGAAGAGGGUGCAAGCCCCUUGGCGUUGUGGAGGCAAAGCAUAGACUUGUCAUGAUAGAGUCGGGUUGCUUGAAAGUGCAACCUAAAGUAGAUGGUAAGCUCCAUCUAAGGCUAAAUAUCGCUGUGAGACCGAUAGCAAACAAGUACCGUGAGGGAAAGUUGCAAAGAACUUUGAAGAGAGAGUUCAAUAGGACGUGAAACCGUUUGCAGGUAAACAGAUGGACCCACGAAGUCCGGUUGAUCAGAGAAUUCAAAUUUUGCAAUUUGUUCUCUACUGAUGAUUGUCUUCUUGAUGAAGGCAAUUAUUGGUGUGAGUGCUUUUGCGAGAUGCAUUUUCUCUGGUCACGAUGGAGCUCUGACUGCUAAGUGACUUUCAUUGUGUAGAGCAGCCUCUUGCUGAGAGAUGUUCCUUAGGGUUCAAUUCUGCAGCUUGAGGUAACAGUGAAGUUAUUUCAAGUGGUUGAAUAACUUGCCUCGGUGAGUGUUCAGGUUGUCGGUGAUGACUUUGAGCAGUGCUUGCAGGUUUUCAUUCUUUCGGC
RNAcentral lists this ribosomal RNA (651 nucleotides) under Arrenurus apetiolatus. RNAcentral's name for it is "partial large subunit ribosomal RNA". It matches the Rfam family "Eukaryotic large subunit ribosomal RNA", at positions 104 to 629 of the family's 3401-position model. The record is from RNAcentral. Lineage: Eukaryota; Metazoa; Arthropoda; Arachnida; Trombidiformes; Arrenuridae.